Molecule: ribosomal RNA, 303 nt
Filed under: uncultured bacterium
Lineage: Bacteria
Description: bacterial SSU rRNA
Rfam family: Bacterial small subunit ribosomal RNA
Source: RNAcentral
UGGGGAAUAUUGGGCAAUGGGCGAAAGCCUGACCCAGCAACGCCGCGUGAAGGAAGAAGGCUUUCGGGUUGUAAACUUCUUUUAAGAGGGAAGAGCAGAAGACGGUACCUCUUGAAUAAGCCACGGCUAACUACGUGCCAGCAGCCGCGGUAAUACGUAGGUGGCAAGCGUUGUCCGGAUUUACUGGGUGUAAAGGGCGUGCAGCCGGGCUGACAAGUCAGAUGUGAAAUCCCGCGGCUUAACCGCGGAACUGCAUUUGAAACUGUUGGUCUUGAGUAUCGGAGAGGCAGGCGGAAUUCCUAG